CCUACGGGUGGCAGCAGUGGGGGAUAUUGCACAAUGGGGGAAACCCUGAUGCAGCGACGCCGCGUGUGGGAAGACGGUCCUCUGGAUUGUAAACCACUGUCCCCAGGGACGAAGAUGACGGUACCGGGGGAGGAAGCGCCGGCUAACUACGUGCCAGCAGCCGCGGUAAUACGGAGGGAGCGAGCGUUGUCCGGAAUUACUGGGUGUAAAGGGCGCGUCGGCGGGACUGCAAGUUGGGUGUCAAAUCUACCGGCUCAACCGGUAGCCGCACUCAAAACGGCAGUUCUUGAGUGAAGUAGAGGCCGGCGGACUUCCUCGUGUCGCGGUGACAUGCGUCGAUAUUAGG
Molecule: ribosomal RNA, 346 nt
Filed under: uncultured bacterium
Lineage: Bacteria
Description: partial 16S ribosomal RNA
Rfam family: Bacterial small subunit ribosomal RNA
Source: RNAcentral